Molecule: ribosomal RNA, 507 nt
Filed under: uncultured Glomus
Lineage: Eukaryota; Fungi; Glomeromycota; Glomeromycetes; Glomerales; Glomeraceae
Description: SSU rRNA
Rfam family: Eukaryotic small subunit ribosomal RNA
Source: RNAcentral
AGCAGCCGCGGUAAUUCCAGCUCCAAUAGCGUAUAUUAAAGUUGUUGCAGUUAAAAAGCUCGUAGUUGAAUUUCGGGGUUAGUAAGUUGGUCAUGCCUCUGGUAUGCACUGGCUUUACUGAUUCCUCCUUCUUGAUGAACUGUAAUGUCAUUAAUUUGGUGUUGCAGGGAAUCAGGACUGCUACUUUGAAAAAUUAGAGUGUUUAAAGCAGGCAUACGCUUGAAUACAUUAGCAUGGAAUAAUGAAAUAGGACGUUUGAUCCUAUUUUGUUGGUUUCUAGGAUUGACGUAAUGAUUAAUAGGGAUAGUUGGGGGCAUUAGUAUUCAAUUGUCAGAGGUGAAAUUCUUGGAUUUAUUGAAGACUAACUACUGCGAAAGCAUUUGCCAAGGAUGUUUUCAUUAAUCAAGAACGAAAGUUAGGGGAUCGAAGACGAUCAGAUACCGUCGUAGUCUUAACCAUAAACUAUGCCGACUAGGGAUCGGAUGAUGUUAUUUUAAUGACUCAUUC